GCCAGAAUAGCUCAGAUGGGAGAGCGUUAGACUGAAGAUCUCUGGUUCAAUCCAGUGUUUCGGCA
Molecule: non-coding RNA, 65 nt
Organism: Pangasianodon gigas (Mekong giant catfish)
Lineage: Eukaryota; Metazoa; Chordata; Actinopteri; Siluriformes; Pangasiidae
Source: the annotation of a GenBank genome assembly